RNAcentral lists this ribosomal RNA (256 nucleotides) under uncultured bacterium. RNAcentral's name for it is "partial 16S ribosomal RNA". It matches the Rfam family "Bacterial small subunit ribosomal RNA", at positions 793 to 1055 of the family's 1533-position model. The record is from RNAcentral.
GUCCACGCCGUAAACGAUGGAUACUAGCUGUUCGGAGCAAUCUGAGUGGCUAAGCGAAAGUGAUAAGUAUCCCACCUGGGGAGUACGUUCGCAAGAAUGAAACUCAAAGGAAUUGACGGGGGCCCCGCACAAGCGGUGGAGCAUGUGGUUUAAUUCGAUGAUACGCGAGGAACCUUACCAAGGCUUAAAUGUAGAUUGACCGAUUUGGAAACAGAUCUUUCGCAAGACAAUUUACAAGGUGCUGCAUGGUUGUCGU